Molecule: long non-coding RNA, 379 nt
Filed under: Bos taurus (domestic cattle)
Lineage: Eukaryota; Metazoa; Chordata; Mammalia; Artiodactyla; Bovidae
Description: long non-coding RNA NONBTAT006066
Source: RNAcentral
UGGUAUCAUUACGCCCUCUAGCGGUAGAGUAUGUGAAUGAGCUAGCUACCAACUGCAAUUCUGCCAUGUGUGUGAAAAUCAAAAUCCAAGAAAAAAAGUUCACUUUGUCCUUGGGCAAGUGUUCAUUUAGCUAGAAAAAAUGUACUCACUCAAACUUUCGUGAUAGUGAAUUUCCUAUUGUCAUUCAAGUACCCAAAUAUCCCAUCUAAUGUUUCAUAGAAGGAUCAUUUAGCCUCCUGUGAGACUAGUUAUGAUGUACAGAGAGUGCUUUUUCCUUCUCCUGUCAUAGCACACACUACCUGAGAGACCUGAUGUUUAGACACAAAGUCUCACCAGUAGAUGACAAGCACCAAGAUCUAAGAUUAUCCCCUUAAAACUC